GAUGAACGCUGGCGGCGUGCCUAAUACAUGCAAGUCGAGCGAAGCGGGGACGGGUGAGUAACACGUGGAUAACCUCAUAUAAGACUGGGAUAACUUCGGGAAACCGGCGCUAAACCGGAAACUUAUAGAUGGAUCCGCGCUGCAUUAGCUAGGUGGUAAGUUAACGGCUUACCAAGGCAACGAUGCAUAGCCGACCUGAGAGGGUGAUCGGCCCCACUGGAACGUGGACACGGUCCAGAGUCCUACGGGAGGCAGCAGUAGGGAAUCUUCCGCAAUGGGCGAAAGCCUGACGGAUCCACGCCGCGUGAGUGAUGAAGGUCUUCGGAGCGUAAAACUCUGUUAUUAGGGAAGCGGUACCUAAUCAGAAAGCCCCGGCUAACUACGUGCCAGCAUCCGCGGUAAUAC
This 405-nucleotide ribosomal RNA is filed under the name uncultured bacterium. RNAcentral's name for it is "partial 16S ribosomal RNA". It matches the Rfam family "Bacterial small subunit ribosomal RNA", at positions 28 to 526 of the family's 1533-position model. The record is from RNAcentral.